ACCUGGUGGGCUCAGUUGGUAGAGCGUGAGAUUCUUGAUCUCAGGGUUGUGGGUUUGAGCCCCACAUCAGGUG
Molecule: non-coding RNA, 73 nt
Organism: Ailuropoda melanoleuca (giant panda)
Lineage: Eukaryota; Metazoa; Chordata; Mammalia; Carnivora; Ursidae
Source: Rfam